GCGGACGGCUGAGUAACGCGUGGGAACGUGCCCCAAAGUGAGGGAUAACGCACCGAAAGGUGUGCUAAUACCGCAUAUGGUCUUCGGAUUAAAGAAUUUAUUCGCUUUGGGAGCGGCCCGCGUCGGAUUAGGUUGUUGGUGAGGUAAUGGCUCACCAAGCCGACAAAUCCGUAGCUGGUCUGAGAGGAUGACCAGCCAAACUGGAACUGAUACACGGUCCAUACUCCUACGGGAGGCAGCACUGAGGAAUCUUCCACAAUGGGGGCAACCCUGAUGGAGCAACGCCCCGUGCAAGAUGAAGGCCUUCGGGUUGUAAACUGCUUUUAUUUGUGAAGAAUAUGACGGUAACAAAUGAAUAAGGGUCGGCUAACUACGUGCCAGC
This 382-nucleotide ribosomal RNA is filed under the name uncultured Candidatus Saccharibacteria bacterium. RNAcentral describes it as "bacterial SSU rRNA". It matches the Rfam family "Bacterial small subunit ribosomal RNA", at positions 98 to 512 of the family's 1533-position model. The record is from RNAcentral. Lineage: Bacteria; Candidatus Saccharimonadota.